AAUAACUUCGGGAAACCGAGGCUAAUACCGCAUAAUACCCACGGGUCAAAGGAGCAAUUCGCUUGAGGAGGGGUCGGCGGCCGGACGUAGUUAGUUAGGUCGGGUACGUAGCCGACCCCAACGACAGUGAUCGGUAUCCGGCCUGAGAGGGCGCGCGGACACACUGGAACUGAAACACGGUCCAGACUCCUACGGGAGGCAGCAGUGGGGAAUUUUGCGCAAUGGGGGAAACCCUGACGCAGCAACGCCGCGUGGAGGAUGAAGUCUCUUGGGACGUAAACUCCUUUCGAUCGGGACGAUUAUGACGGUACCGGAAGAAGAAGCCCCGGCUAACUUCGUG
RNAcentral lists this ribosomal RNA (340 nucleotides) under uncultured bacterium. RNAcentral's name for it is "bacterial SSU rRNA". It matches the Rfam family "Bacterial small subunit ribosomal RNA", at positions 142 to 507 of the family's 1533-position model. The record is from RNAcentral.